AGGCCACCGGUCGGGCCUAAUUUAGAUGGAGGGAAGGACGUGAAGGAUCUCGGAGCCGCUGUGAUCGUUUCCUUUGCUUCGGCCACCGUAACCAAGCAGCACAACCCAGGGGCGUGGCAGGAGUGUACCCUCAAGGUCUUGGAGGCUGCAGGAACGACCUGGACGCAGGAGGUUGUAGAUCUGAUACAGAACGGUGGAGACCUUGAGCAGAGCGGAUUGGUCCCCAUCCACCUGCGACAGCCUUUCCUGGAAUGGAUACGGAUACCGGACUGCUCUGGAAUCGACCAGGCAAAUGCAAUACCUUCCCCAAGGACUCUGAAAAGUCACCUUCCUGCGCAACUGCUGCUGCCAUCCUUCUGGGAGAAAACCUGCAAGUACGCGGGCCUCUCACUGUUGUGGGC
Non-coding RNA from Delphinapterus leucas (beluga whale), 401 nucleotides. Lineage: Eukaryota; Metazoa; Chordata; Mammalia; Artiodactyla; Monodontidae. The record is from RefSeq and is a predicted model, not a curated record.